RNAcentral lists this ribosomal RNA (850 nucleotides) under uncultured archaeon. Its description in RNAcentral is "bacterial SSU rRNA". It matches the Rfam family "Archaeal small subunit ribosomal RNA", at positions 19 to 859 of the family's 1478-position model. The record is from RNAcentral.
GGAGGUCACUGCUAUUGGGAUUCGGCUAAGCCAUGCAAGCGGAGGGCGCGGUCGAAAGAUCGUGGCCCCGCACACUGCUCAGUAACACGUAGUCAACCUACCCUUGGGACGGGGACAACCUCGGGAAACUGAGGCUAAUCCCCGAUAGGUGAGGGACGCUGGAAUGCCUCCUCGCCCAAAGCUCCGGCGCCCAAGGAUGGGACUGCGGUCUAUCAGGCUGUUGGUGGUGUAACGGACCACCAAACCUACGACGGGUACGGGCGAUGGGAGUCGGAGCCCGGAGAUGGGGACUGAGACAAGGCCCCAGGCCCUACGGGGCGCAGCAGGCGCGAAAACUCCGCAAUGCGCGCAAGCGUGACGGGGGAAUCCCAAGUGCCGUUGGUCUUAUGAUCGACGGUUUUUAGGAAGUCUAAGAAGCUUCCAGAAUAAGGGCUGGGCAAGACUGGUGCCAGCCGCCGCGGUAACACCAGCAGCCCAAGUGGUGACCACGAUUAUUGGGCCUAAAGCGCUCGUAGCCGGAUCAGCAAGUCCCUUGUGAAAUCGGGCCGCCUAACGGUUCGGCGUGCAAGGGAUACUGUUGGUCUUGAGGCCGGGAGAGGUCGGAGGUACUCCUGGGGUAGCGGUGAAAUGCUCUAAUCCUAGGGGGACCACCAGUGGCGAAGGCGUCCGACCAGAACGGACCUGACGGUGAGGGGCGAAGGCUAGGGGAGCGAACGGGAUUAGAUACCCCGGUAGUCCUAGCUGUAAAGCAUGCGGGCCAGGUGUCUAGCGCUCCUUGAGGGCGCUAGGUGCCGGANGGAANCCGUUAAGCCCGCCGCCUGGGAAGUACGGCCGCAAGGCUGAAACUUAA